This 773-nucleotide ribosomal RNA is filed under the name uncultured Pseudomonadota bacterium. RNAcentral's name for it is "bacterial SSU rRNA". It matches the Rfam family "Bacterial small subunit ribosomal RNA", at positions 54 to 825 of the family's 1533-position model. The record is from RNAcentral. Lineage: Bacteria; Pseudomonadati; Pseudomonadota.
CAUGCAAGUCAACUGAACUUGAGGUAGUAAUACUUCAAGGGAGGUGGCGCACGGGUGAGUAACACGUAGGUAAUCUGCCUUUAGGACUGACAUAAUUCCGCGAAAGCGGGACUAAUAUCAGAUAAUGCAGCGGCUCGACAUCGAGACAGUUGUUAAACCUUCGGGGCCUGAAGAUGAGCCUGCGUCUGAUUAGGUAGUUGGCGGGGUAAAAGCCCACCAAGCCAUCGAUCAGUAGCUGGUCUGAGAGGAUGAUCAGCCACACUGGAACUGAGACACGGUCCAGACUCCUACGGGAGGCAGCAGUAAGGAAUAUUGCUCAAUGGCCGAAAGGCUGAAGCAGCAACGCCGCGUGGAGGAUGAAAUACUUUUGUAUGUAAACUCCUGUAAGAAGGGAAAAAUAUUCCGAUUUAUCGGAAUUGAUUGUACCUUCAGAGUAAGCACCGGCUAACUACGUGCCAGCAGCCGCGGUAAUACGUAGGGUGCUAGAGUUGUCCGGAUUUACUGGGUGUAAAGGGUGCUCAGGUGGGUUUGUAAGUCAGAGGUGAAAUCCCAAAGCUUAACUUUGGUGCUGCCUUUGAUACUGCAAGUCUGGAGUUUGAGAGAGGGUAAUGGAAUAUCUGGUGUAGCAGUGAAAUGCGUAGAUAUCAGAUAGAACACCAAUGGCGAAGGCAGUUACCUGGCUCAAUACUGACGCUAAAGCACGAAAGUGUGGGGAGCAAACAGGAUUAGAUACCCUGGUAGUCCGCACCCUAAACGAUGAAUACUAGAUGUUG